Polypterus senegalus (gray bichir) is the source of this 611-nucleotide long non-coding RNA. RefSeq lists it as uncharacterized. Lineage: Eukaryota; Metazoa; Chordata; Cladistia; Polypteriformes; Polypteridae. The record is from RefSeq and is a predicted model, not a curated record. The transcript has 3 exons.
UAUCUGAAGCCUAUCCAGCCAGCAUCAGGCACAAGGUCAGAAUUAGUUCCAGACUUGAACACCUUAUCAAGUGAAGAAGUUACUAAAAUGUGGCACUUUGUGCCAAUGGUCUACUGCCAGACCGCCCUCCUACAUAUGGAAAAGUCAUCUCAGAGAACAGCUGGACAGUGGUGAACUCGGAGCCAGCAUGCUGCUGUGGGUUUCACUGGGCCUUGGUCGCGGGGGAAUUCUCAAGUCGCUGUCAGAAGGAGCCAACUGGAGCCAAGGAUCGGUGAGGCAAUCGUGACAGCAGAAAUAGAUGUUGAGAAGGUCAGCUGCAUGUAGGGUGACUCCCCUGUUGAGACGUUCAGACGGGAGAAGUAGGGGGCCGCCAGUAGUAGAAACAGGAUGCACCGAAUUUUUAAAAGGACAGCUUCCAGCAUGGUUUUAACCUCGUUGUUUUAAAGGUUGUUUUUUUCUAUUGACUUUAACCUCCACGAUUCACUUCUGCUUUUAUUGGAUUAUUUAUUUAUUGAACUUUUUGAACCACUGCACUUUACUUAACUUUGAACACUGUUUUGUUUUGUUGUUUUAAAUAAAAGCACAUUGCACUUUGUACAUCAUCCCCUUGC